UUGAUAGCUCUUGCAACUGAAAAUGUCUGGCUAUUCACAGAGCAGGUAGCACAGGCUUGGAUAGAGUAAACUCCUGGAUGCUGCCCGGCCAGUGCAUUCCAAUCCUGCCCUAGAGGGAUCCUUUCUAGGGUUGAAGGGAGUUCAGUCUCCAUGAUCCAUUCAGUCCUUGUCAUCU
This is an unclassified non-coding RNA of Chelonoidis abingdonii (Abingdon island giant tortoise), 175 nucleotides long. The record is from Ensembl. Lineage: Eukaryota; Metazoa; Chordata; Testudines; Testudinidae.